AGCGUACACGGUGGAUGCCUUGGCAGUCAGAGGCGAUGAAAGACGUAGUAACUUGCGAUAAGCCCAGAUUAGGUAGUAACAACCAUUUGAGUCUGGGAUUUCUGAAUGGGGAAACCCACGUGCAUAAGCACGUAUCCUUACCUGAAUACAUAGGGUAAGGAGGCGAACCGGGGAACUGAAACAUCUAAGUACCCCGAGGAAAAGAAAUCAACCGAGAUUCCGAAAGUAGCGGCGAGCGAAAUUGGACUAGCCCUUAAGCUUUACACGCGUUAGACGAACGGUCUGGAAAGUCCGACGAUACAGGGUGAUAGUCCCGUAGUUGACGACGUGUGUUCAGUGAAAUCGAGUAGGGCGGGACACGUGAUAUCCUGUCUGAAUAUGGGGGGACCAUCCUCCAAGGCUAAAUACUACUGACUGACCGAUAGUGAACCAGUACCGUGAGGGAAAGGCGAAAAGAACCCCUGUGAGGGGAGUGAAAUAGAACCUGAAACCGUGUACGUACAAGCAGUAGGAGCAGGCUUUGUCCUGUGACUGCGUACCUUUUGUAUAAUGGGUCAGCGACUUAUAUUCAGUGGCAAGGUUAACCAUCUAGGGGAGCCGUAGGGAAACCGAGUCUUAACUGGGCGUUCAGUCUCUGGAUAUAGACCCGAAACCAGGUGAUCUAGCCAUGGGCAGGUUGAAGGUUGAGUAACAUCAACUGGAGGACCGAACCGACUAAUGUUGAAAAAUUAGCGGAUGACUUGUGGCUAGGGGUGAAAGGCCAAUCAAACCUGGAGAUAGCUGGUUCUCCCCGAAAGCUAUUUAGGUAGCGCCUCGGACGAAUACUACUGGGGGUAGAGCACUGUUAAGGCUAGGGGGUCAUCCCGACUUACCAACCCUUUGCAAACUCCGAAUACCAGUAAGUACUAUCCGGGAGACACACGGCGGGUGCUAACGUCCGUCGUGGAGAGGGAAACAACCCAGACCGCCAGCUAAGGUCCCAAAUUACUACUAAGUGGGAAACGAUGUGGGAAGGCUCAGACAGCCAGGAUGUUGGCUUAGAAGCAGCCAUCAUUUAAAGAAAGCGUAAUAGCUCACUGGUCGAGUCGGCCUGCGCGGAAGAUGUAACGGGGCUAAGUAGUAAACCGAAGCUGCGGCAAUGUGCUUUUGCACAUUGGGUAGGGGAGCGUUCUGUAAGCGGUUGAAGGUGUGUGGUAACGCAUGCUGGACGUAUCAGAAGUGCGAAUGCUGACAUGAGUAACGAUAAAGGGGGUGAAAAACCUCCUCGCCGGAAGACCAAGGGUUCCUGUCCAACGUUAAUCGGGGCAGGGUAAGUCGACCCCUAAGGCGAGGCCGAAAGGCGUAGUCGAUGGGAAACGGGUUAAUAUUCCCGUACUUCUUACAAUUGCGAUGGGGGGACGGAGAAGGCUAGGUGGGCCUGGCGACGGUUGUCCAGGUUCAAGUGCGUAGGCUUGAGAGUUAGGUAAAUCCGGCUCUUUUUAAGGCUGAGACACGACGUCGAGCACCUACGGGUGUGAAGUCAUUGAUGCCAUGCUUCCAGGAAAAGCCUCUAAGCUUCAGAUUGUAAGGAAUCGUACCCCAAACCGACACAGGUGGUCGGGUAGAGAAUACCAAGGCGCUUGAGAGAACUCGGGUGAAGGAACUAGGCAAAAUGGUACCGUAACUUCGGGAGAAGGUACGCUCUCGACGGUGAAGUCCCUCGCGGAUGGAGCUAUUGAGAGUCGCAGAUACCAGGUGGCUGCAACUGUUUAUUAAAAACACAGCACUGUGCAAAAUCGUAAGAUGACGUAUACGGUGUGACGCCUGCCCGGUGCCGGAAGGUUAAUUGAUGGGGUUAGACUUCGGUCGAAGCUCUUGAUCGAAGCCCCGGUAAACGGCGGCCGUAACUAUAACGGUCCUAAGGUAGCGAAAUUCCUUGUCGGGUAAGUUCCGACCUGCACGAAUGGCGUAAUGAUGGCCACGCUGUCUCCACCCGAGACUCAGUGAAAUUGAAAUCGCUGUGAAGAUGCAGUGUACCCGCGGCUAGACGGAAAGACCCCGUGAACCUUUACUACAGCUUGGCACUGAACAUUGACCCUACAUGUGUAGGAUAGGUGGGAGGCUUUGAAGCACGUACGCCAGUAUGUGUGGAGCCGUCCUUGAAAUACCACCCUUGUAGUGUUGAUGUUCUAACGUCGACCCCUUAUCGGGGUUGCGGACAGUGCCUGGUGGGUAGUUUGACUGGGGCGGUCUCCUCCCAAAGAGUAACGGAGGAGCACGAAGGUGGGCUAAUCACGGUUGGACAUCGUGAGGUUAGUGCAAUGGCAUAAGCCCGCUUGACUGCGAGAAUGACAAUUCGAGCAGGUGCGAAAGCAGGUCAUAGUGAUCCGGUGGUUCUGAAUGGAAGGGCCAUCGCUCAACGGAUAAAAGGUACUCCGGGGAUAACAGGCUGAUACCGCCCAAGAGUUCAUAUCGACGGCGGUGUUUGGCACCUCGAUGUCGGCUCAUCACAUCCUGGGGCUGAAGUCGGUCCCAAGGGUAUGGCUGUUCGCCAUUUAAAGUGGUACGCGAGCUGGGUUUAGAACGUCGUGAGACAGUUCGGUCCCUAUCUGCCGUGGGCGUUGGAAGAUUGAAGGGGGCUGCUCCUAGUACGAGAGGACCGGAGUGGACGAACCUCUGGUGUUCGGGUUGUGUCGCCAGACGCAUUGCCCGGUAGCUAAGUUCGGAAUCGAUAACCGCUGAAAGCAUCUAAGCGGGAAGCGAGCCCUGAGAUGAGUCUUCCCUGAUACUUUAAGUAUCCUAAAGGGUUGU
Molecule: ribosomal RNA, 2790 nt
Filed under: Vibrio parahaemolyticus
Lineage: Bacteria; Pseudomonadati; Pseudomonadota; Gammaproteobacteria; Vibrionales; Vibrionaceae
Description: bacterial LSU rRNA
Rfam family: Bacterial large subunit ribosomal RNA
Source: RNAcentral